RNAcentral lists this ribosomal RNA (323 nucleotides) under uncultured eukaryote. Its description in RNAcentral is "partial 18S ribosomal RNA". It matches the Rfam family "Eukaryotic small subunit ribosomal RNA", at positions 1470 to 1796 of the family's 1831-position model. The record is from RNAcentral.
CCCUUAGAUGUUCUGGGCUGCACGCGCGCGACAAUGACGUUUGCAACGAGAUACGAGGCCGAAAGGUUAAGUUGAUCUAGCAAGCUGCGUCGUGAUAGGGACUGUCGAUUGCAAUUAUUCGACACGAACGAGGAAUUCCUUGUAAUCGCACAUCAUCAGUGUGCGCUGAAUACGUCCCUGCCCUUUGUACACACCGCCCGUCGCUCCUACCGAUCGAGUGAUCCGGUGAAUGUUUUGGAUCGGUUGCAAGUUGCGCGACGCGCUUCUUGCAUGCUGUGAAAUCAUGUAAGCCUUAUUGCUUAGAGGAAGGAGAAGUCGUAACA